This 371-nucleotide unclassified non-coding RNA is filed under the name Hevea brasiliensis (rubber tree). Lineage: Eukaryota; Viridiplantae; Streptophyta; Magnoliopsida; Malpighiales; Euphorbiaceae. The record is from RNAcentral.
GAAAUUAAUUAAUUUUACUGGAAUCCCUCAGAUCUUGGUCAAUUACGCCGUUCCCAGUCCUCGCUUCUCGCGCCUCACUCCUCACCAACCAAGCCUCUUCUCACUAGAGCUUCCUCUCUCAAACUCUCCAAUGGCCGCAUCUUCGCUUCUUCAAUCUCCAUAUCUCGCCUCUAAAACCAGAACCACACCCUCUCGCUAUGUUAAACCCACUCCUCAUUUCCUCCCCAUCAAAGCCUCCGCCUUUGAUAAUCCUUCUAACUCUACAGCUCCAUCUCCAACCACCAGCGCCCCCACUACCUACAAAGGUUGCAACAUCCGCGAAGAGGCCCGCCGCCACAGCCUUACUCACCCACAACCCGACAACAACUUCU